UGGGGAAUCUUCCGCAAUGGACGAAAGUCUGACGGAGCAACGCCGCGUGAGUGAUGACGGCCUUCGGGUUGUAAAGCUCUGUUAAUCGGGACGAAUGGUUCUUGUGCGAAUAGUGCAAGGAUUUGACGGUACCGGAAUAGAAAGCCACGGCUAACUACGUGCCAGCAGCCGCGGUAAUACGUAGGUGGCAAGCGUUGUCCGGAAUUAUUGGGCGUAAAGCGCGCGCAGGCGGAUUGGUCAGUCUGUCUUAAAAGUUCGGGGCUUAACCCCGUGAUGGGAUGGAAACUGCCAAUCUAGAGAAUCGGAGAGGAAAGUGGAAUUCCUAGUGUAGCGGUGAAAUGCGUAGAUAUUAGGAAGAACACCAGUGGCGAAGGCGACUUUCUGGACGAAAACUGACGCUGAGGCGCGAAAGCCAGGGGAGCGAACGGG
This 429-nucleotide ribosomal RNA is filed under the name bacterium. RNAcentral describes it as "partial 16S ribosomal RNA". It matches the Rfam family "Bacterial small subunit ribosomal RNA", at positions 355 to 776 of the family's 1533-position model. The record is from RNAcentral.